GACGAACGCUGGCGGCGUGCUUAACACAUGCAAGUCGAACGGAAAGGCCCUGCUUUUGUGGGGUGCUCGAGUGGCGAACGGGUGAGUAACACGUGAGUAACCUGCCCUUGACUUUGGGAUAACUUCAGGAAACUGGGGCUAAUACCGGAUAGGAGCUCCUGCUGCAUGGUGGGGGUUGGAAAGUUUCGGCGGUUGGGGAUGGACUCGCGGCUUAUCAGCUUGUUGGUGGGGUAGUGGCUUACCAAGGCCUUGACGGGUAGCCGGCCUGAGAGGGUGACCGGCCACAUUGGGACUGAGAUACGGCCCAGACUCGUACGGGAGGCAGCAGUGGGGAAUAUUGCACAAUGGGCGGAAGCCUGAUGCAGCAACGCCGCGUGCGGGAUGACGGCCUUCGGGUUGUAAACCGCUUUCGCCUGUGACGAAGCGUGAGUGACGGUAAUGGGUAAAGAAGCACCGGCUAACUACGUG
This 468-nucleotide ribosomal RNA is filed under the name uncultured bacterium. RNAcentral's name for it is "partial 16S ribosomal RNA". It matches the Rfam family "Bacterial small subunit ribosomal RNA", at positions 28 to 507 of the family's 1533-position model. The record is from RNAcentral.